Molecule: ribosomal RNA, 253 nt
Filed under: uncultured bacterium
Lineage: Bacteria
Description: partial 16S ribosomal RNA
Rfam family: Bacterial small subunit ribosomal RNA
Source: RNAcentral
UACGGAGGGACCUAGCGUUGUUCGGAAUCACUGGGCUUAAAGGGCGCGUAGGCGGUCGUGUAAGUCAGGUGUGAAAGCCCCCGGCCUAACCGGGGAAUAGCGCCUGAUACUGCACGACUAGAGGGUGGGAGGGGAGAGCGGAAUUCCAGGUGUAGCGGUGAAAUGCGUAGAUAUCUGGGAGAACGCCGAUGGCGAAAGCAGCUCUCUGGUCCACUUCUGACGCUGAGGCACGAAAGCUAGGGGAGCAAACGGG